ACCUUACCAGGGCUUGACAUGUCACAAAUCNNCCUGAAAGGGAAGAGUGCCUUCGGGAAUGUGAACACAGGUGGUGCAUGGCUGUCGUCAGCUCGUGCCGUGAGAUGUUGGGUUAAGUCCCGCAACGAGCGUAACCCUUGUCUUUAGUUGCCAUCAUUUAGUUGGGCACUUUAAAGAGACUGCCGGUGAUAAACCGGAGGAAGGUGAGGACGACGUCAAGUCAGCAUGCCCCUUACGCCCUGGGCUACACACGUACUACAAUGGCCGAGACAAAGAGUCGCAAGUUUGCAAAGACAAGCUAAUCUCAUAAACUCGGUCUCAGUUCGGAUUGUAGGCUGCAACUCGCCUACAUGAAGUUGGAAUCGCUAGUAAUCGCCGGUCAGCUAUACGGCGGUGAAUCCGUUCCCGGGCCUUGUACACACCGCCCGUCACACCAUGGAAGCUGUUCAUGCCCAAAGUCGUUACCUUAACCGCAAGGA
This 479-nucleotide ribosomal RNA is filed under the name uncultured Teleaulax. RNAcentral describes it as "bacterial SSU rRNA". It matches the Rfam family "Bacterial small subunit ribosomal RNA", at positions 968 to 1447 of the family's 1533-position model. Lineage: Eukaryota; Cryptophyceae; Pyrenomonadales; Geminigeraceae. The record is from RNAcentral.